Molecule: ribosomal RNA, 374 nt
Filed under: uncultured bacterium
Lineage: Bacteria
Description: bacterial SSU rRNA
Rfam family: Bacterial small subunit ribosomal RNA
Source: RNAcentral
ACUCCUACGGGAGGCAGCAGUGGGGAAUAUUGCACAAUGGGCGCAAGCCUGAUGCAGCCAUGCCGCGUGUGUGAAGAAGGCCUUCGGGUUGUAAAGCACUUUCAGCAGUGAGGAAGGCGGAGUCGUUAAUAGCGGCCUCGUUUGACGUUAGCUGCAGAAGAAGCACCGGCUAACUCCGUGCCAGCAGCCGCGGUAAUACGGAGGGUGCGAGCGUUAAUCGGAAUUACUGGGCGUAAAGCGCAUGCAGGUGGUUUGUUAAGUCAGAUGUGAAAGCCCGGGGCUCAACCUCGGAAUAGCAUUUGAAACUGGCAGACUAGAGUACUGUAGAGGGGGUAGAAUUUCAGGUGUAGCGGUGAAAUGCGUAGAGAUCUGAA